Molecule: ribosomal RNA, 305 nt
Filed under: uncultured bacterium
Lineage: Bacteria
Description: bacterial SSU rRNA
Rfam family: Bacterial small subunit ribosomal RNA
Source: RNAcentral
AGUCCCCUACGGGGCGCAGCAGUGGGGAAUAUUGCACAAUGGGGGAAACCCUGAUGCAGCGACGCCGCGUGAGUGAAGAAGUAUUUCGGUAUGUAAAGCUCUAUCAGCAGGGAAGAAAAUGACGGUACCUGACUAAGAAGCACCGGCUAACUACGUGCCAGCAGCCGCGGUAAUACGUAGGGGGCAAGCGUUAUCCGGAUUUACUGGGUGUAAAGGGAGCGUAGACGGCCAGACAAGUCAGAAGUGAAAGCCAAGGGCUCAACACUGGGACUGCUUUUGAAACUGCCGGGGUGAAGUGCAGGAGG